This 501-nucleotide ribosomal RNA is filed under the name uncultured Glomeromycotina. Its description in RNAcentral is "partial small subunit ribosomal RNA". It matches the Rfam family "Eukaryotic small subunit ribosomal RNA", at positions 591 to 1092 of the family's 1831-position model. Lineage: Eukaryota; Fungi; Glomeromycota. The record is from RNAcentral.
CCAAUAGCGUAUAUUAAAGUUGUUGCAGUUAAAAAGCUCGUAGUUGAAUUUCGGGAUCAGUAGGGUUGGUCAUGCCUCUGGUAUGCACUGGUCUCACUGGUUCCUCCUUCCUGAUGAACCGUAAUGCCAUUAAUUUGGUGUUGCGGGGAAACUGGACUGUUACUUUGAAAAAAUUAGAGUGUUUAAAGCAAGCUAACGCUUGAAUACAUUAGCAUGGAAUAAUGAAAUAGGACGAUCGAUCCUAUUUUGUUGGUUUCUAGGAUUGACGUAAUGAUUAAUAGGGAUAGUUGGGGGCAUUAGUAUUCAAUUGUCAGAGGUGAAAUUCUUGGAUUUAUUGAAGACUAACUACUGCGAAAGCAUUUGCCAAGGAUGUUUUCAUUAAUCAAGAACGAAAGUUAGGGGAUCGAAGACGAUCAGAUACCGUCGUAGUCUUAACCAUAAACUAUGCCGACUAGGGAUCGGAUGAUGUUAAUUUUUUAAUGACUCAUUCGGCGCCUUACG